Molecule: ribosomal RNA, 377 nt
Filed under: uncultured eukaryote
Lineage: Eukaryota
Description: partial 18S ribosomal RNA
Rfam family: Eukaryotic small subunit ribosomal RNA
Source: RNAcentral
CAAUAGCGUAUAUUUAAGUUGCUGCAGUUAAAAAGCUCGUAGUUGGAUUUCGGGUGGGAAUGGCCGGUCCGCCGUUUCGGUGUGCACUUGCUACGCCCACCUUGCUGCCGGGGACGUGCUCUUGAGUUCACGCUCGGGACACGGAGUCGGCGAGGUUACUUUGAGUAAAUUAGAGUGUUCAAAGCAGGCCUACGCUCUGAAUACAUUAGCAUGGAAUAACACGAUAGGACUCUGGCCUAUCUUGUUGGUCUGUAGGACCGGAGUAAUGAUUAAGAGGGACAGUCGGGGGCAUUCGUAUUUCAUUGUCAGAGGUGAAAUUCUUGGAUUUAUGCAAGACGAACUACUGCGAAAGCAUUUGCCAAGGAUGUUUUCAUUAA